CACAAAGGUGGUUUUCCCAUCGUGAGGCUUUUCCUGAUGUGCUACCCCUGUGAUUUCCCCAAAUGUGGGAAACUCCACUGAAUAAUUUGUGGUUGU
RNAcentral lists this small nuclear RNA (96 nucleotides) under Cervus elaphus hippelaphus. Lineage: Eukaryota; Metazoa; Chordata; Mammalia; Artiodactyla; Cervidae. The record is from RNAcentral.